AAACUAGACUUUAUCGGACAUUCAAGGGCCCGCAUGGUUNGUCGUCAGCUCGUGCCGGAGGUGUUAGGUUAAGUCCUGCAAAGAGCGCAAACCCCUGGUCACUAGUUGCCAUCAUUAAGUUGGGGACUCUAGUGAGACUGCCUACGCAAGUAGAGAGGAAGGUGGGGAUGACGUCAAAUCAUCACGGCCCUUACGCCUUGGGCCACACACGUAAUACAAUGGCCAGUACAGAGGGCAGCUACACGGUGACUGUGAUGCAAAUCUCGAAAGCUGGUCUCAGUUCGGAUUGGAGUCUGCAACUCGACUCUAUGAAGCUGGAAUCGCUAGUAAUCGCGCAUCAGCCAUGGCGCGGUGAAUACGUUCCCGGG
RNAcentral lists this ribosomal RNA (368 nucleotides) under Chryseobacterium sp. LGI5M. Its description in RNAcentral is "bacterial SSU rRNA". It matches the Rfam family "Bacterial small subunit ribosomal RNA", at positions 1004 to 1378 of the family's 1533-position model. The record is from RNAcentral. Lineage: Bacteria; Pseudomonadati; Bacteroidota; Flavobacteriia; Flavobacteriales; Weeksellaceae.